UGGAGUCAGUGCCUAGAGGAGCUGCCUGCAAGAAACAUCAAAGAGGAGAAAAAUCCUGGAUGAAGGGAGUUUUCAGAGAAUGUGAAUGCCACACCUGUGCAUUGUCUGCGACUGACUUCUGGGCUCUACUCUUUGGAAGAGACAUUCUCAAAUUCAAGAGUCUCUGUCUAUGCCUUGGACUUGGUUCCUCUGUUCCCUUACCUGUGUGAAGUAGCUGGGGACAGGUCUGUGAGGGAAGGCAAAAUACUUCUUGCAAGUGGACAGUUUGUUUCAGAUAAGGAAGUGAGGGGUGUGAGGUGGCUCAAUAUAUUGCUCCAGGAGGGGUUUGCUGGAGCCAGGAAAAUCCAGCUCCUGCAGACUGGCUCCACUUUCCUUUCACCCCCUCCUGUGAGUAAUGUGAGUUGUUUAUUUCUUCAUAGGCGCCCUUGCAGAGAACAACUAGGCGUUCAUUUCUGUUCCCACCUCCUCCUUGCCUCGGCCUCUCAUUUUUCCUUGAAGAAGUGGGCAAAGCUGCAAGGGAAAACACCUUCACUGCCUGUCCUUGUGGGAUCACAGGGCACUGGGGCAGAACCAGAUGAGCUGCCUGAGCAUGGGGAGGAGUAGGACACUGUGCUGUGUAGGAUGAAUUUUGCUGAGGCUUGCAGCCCACUCCAGACUUGUCUGCUCCCAGACCCUGAGGAGAGAUUUAGAUUCUUUUGCUGCUGCCCAUGUGCUUGUGUGCAAUAUCCUACCAUAGAUUUCAUACAUUUUAAAAUGAAUUAGAACCUUAACCUCCUCUUCCUUUGAGUUCUCUGUAGUAAUUGUAUCCUUCUGCUAUUAAAGUUCUAAAUAAUGACUGAAAUAGAUGUUUAUUUGAUAAUUUACAGUUUGAAGAGGAUUUUGAAAAGAAAUUCAUCUCUUUACAUGGGAAGACACUAUGUAAUCUUCGAAGACAUUCCAAGUUUCCUCAAUAUUUUACAGUCUUUUUGCUAUUUAUUUUGUAUCUCUUUUCUUGAAAAUGUUUAUUUUGGGUAGGUCAAAACAAAAUUCUCCCUAUGUCUCUCAUCAGCUGUAAGAUGAAUGCACACAGUUGGAACAUGUUCCAUUGAAACUCUCAUGCCGAAUAAACAAAGUCCUGACCA
This is a non-coding RNA of Zonotrichia albicollis (white-throated sparrow), 1121 nucleotides long. NCBI's taxonomy places the organism in Eukaryota, Metazoa, Chordata, Aves, Passeriformes, Passerellidae. The record is from RefSeq and is a predicted model, not a curated record.